UUCAAAUAUGCUGAGGAGCUUUAUCACUUCUUCUCGAUUAAGACUUGGAGACGAAUCAGCAGCUGGGGCAGUCUCAUCACUCUUAGGCUGAAAAAACCAAACAGGCUGUAAUCUUUAUGGAAGCAGACUGCCACACCUUUCUCACGUGGAGAUGCUGGGAGGUUUAACCACUGCACCAUCAAGGCUCCUCCGAAACAGCUAUUAAUCGUCUAAAACUUUUUGGAGGUGGACACCAAAUGAAACGAUUCAAGAGCAAGUGAAACAGUCCUGUGACCCCUUCAGACUGGUGCCAUGCCCCGCUGACCAUCCUAGAGGCAGUGUGCUCACGUAACUGCACCAAGCAAGACCAACGCUCUGGGUAAGUCACCCCACUUCCUGGCUCUAGAAUCUGACAGCUCCAAGGUAGAGUGGUGCAUUCAGUAAGGGCUGUGAACUAACUUUAAAAAACGAUGCUCUCUCCAUCUGGGCCCUGGGGUCACUCGGAAGGCAACUCCUCCACCUUCACUGAGUGCUAUUCCUUUCCAAAAGGAAGCCCAUGGCCUGGUGGGCUGACUAAAAGGGCUGCUUAGAAAAACUUCAUGAAAAGACGAGUGUGAAAGUCAACACGACUGUCUUCAGAGCUUAGGUUAUGUUCAGUUCUGACUGUAAUGAUAAAACAUGUCAAAACCAUUUUGUACACAGAUACACAGGAUCAUGCUCUAUUUUAAAAAGUAAUAAAGGAAUGAAAUAAAACACAGUGAAUAUCCAAGCACUGAAGAUUCCUGCCACGUUUCUGGGUAUAUUCACGCCAACACGAGCUGGCUGAAUAACCCUGAUGUGGAUGAACCGAGGCGUCCCAUCGGCGCACCUUGACAACUCGACUCUCUGUGAAGACUGUGCAGUAUCUCCUGGUCUUCCUUUGUCUGAUAGUUAAACUCCUCGAGGUGGGCGGCUCUAUUGUUUGCAUUCUGGGCCAGCA
Long non-coding RNA from Loxodonta africana (African savanna elephant), 958 nucleotides. RefSeq lists it as uncharacterized. The record is from RefSeq and is a predicted model, not a curated record. The transcript is spliced from 3 exons. Lineage: Eukaryota; Metazoa; Chordata; Mammalia; Proboscidea; Elephantidae.